UGUCCUGUACUGCCUAAAAGUCUGGGGA
Molecule: non-coding RNA, 28 nt
Filed under: Rattus norvegicus (Norway rat)
Lineage: Eukaryota; Metazoa; Chordata; Mammalia; Rodentia; Muridae
Source: RNAcentral